RNAcentral lists this ribosomal RNA (492 nucleotides) under uncultured bacterium. RNAcentral's name for it is "partial 16S ribosomal RNA". It matches the Rfam family "Bacterial small subunit ribosomal RNA", at positions 29 to 507 of the family's 1533-position model. The record is from RNAcentral.
AGUGAACGCUGGCGGUAGGCCUAACACAUGCAAGUCGAACGGCAGCACAGUAAGAGCUUGCUCUUACGGGUGGCGAGUGGCGGACGGGUGAGGAAUACAUCGGAAUCUACUUUUUCGUGGGGGAUAACGUAGGGAAACUUAAGCUAAUACCGCAUACGACCUACGGGUGAAAGCAGGGGAUCUUCGGACCUUGCGCGAUUGAAUGAGCCGAUGUCGGAUUAGCUAGUUGGCGGGGUAAAGGCCCACCAAGGCGACGAUCCGUAGCUGGUCUGAGAGGAUGAUCAGCCACACUGGAACUGAGACAGGGUCCAGACUCCUACGGGAGGCAGCAGUGGGGAAUAUUGGACAAUGGGCGCAAGCCUGAUCCAGCCAUACCGCGUGGGUGAAGAAGGCCUUCGGGUUGUAAAGCCCUUUUGUUGGGAAAGAAAAGCAGCAGGUUAAUACCCCGCUGUUCUGACGGUACCCAAAGAAUAAGCGCCGGCUAACUUCGUG